AACGCUAGCUACAGGCUUAACACAUGCAAGUCGAGGGGCAGCAUGUAUCCGGCUUGCCGGAUACGAUGGCGACCGGCGCACGGGUGAGUAACGCGUAUCCAACCUGCCCCGUACACGGGGAUAGCCUUCCGAAAGGGAGAUUAAUACCCGAUGAUGUCAGGAGUUCGCAUGUAAACCUGACUAAAGUUAUUACGGUACGGGAGGGGGGUGCGUUCCAUUAGGUAGUAGGCGGGGUAACGGCCCACCUAGCCAACGAUGGAUAGGGGUUCUGAGAGGAAGGUCCCCCACAUUGGAACUGAGACACGGUCCAAACUCCUACGGGAGGCAGCAGUGAGGAAUAUUGGUCAAUGGCCGCGAGGCUGAACCAGCCAAGUAGCGUGAAGGAUGACGGCCCUACGGGUUGUAAACUUCUUUUAUGCGGGAUUAACGUGAGGUACGUGUACCUUAUUGCAGGUACCGCAUGAAUAAGCAUCGGCUAACUCCGUGCCAGCAGCCGCGGUAAUACGGAGGAUGCAGGCGUUAUCCGGAUUUAUUGGGUUUAAAGGGAGCGCAGACGGCAUGUCAAGUCAGCUGUGAAAGUUCGGGGCUCAACCUUGGAAUUGCAGUUGAAACUGGCGUGCUUGAGUUCGGUCGAGGCAGGCGGAAUUCGUGGUGUAGCGGUGAAAUGCUUAGAUAUCACGAAGAACUCCGAUUG
RNAcentral lists this ribosomal RNA (694 nucleotides) under uncultured bacterium. RNAcentral describes it as "bacterial SSU rRNA". It matches the Rfam family "Bacterial small subunit ribosomal RNA", at positions 32 to 715 of the family's 1533-position model. The record is from RNAcentral.